AACGAACGCUGGCGGCAUGCCUAACACAUGCCAGUCGAACGAGACCUUCGGGUCUAGUGGCGCACGGGUGCGUAACGCGUGGGAACCUGCCCUUAGGUUCGGAAUAACUCCCCGAAAGGGGUGCUAAUACCGGAUAAUGUCUUCGGACCAAAGAUUUAUCGCCUUUGGAUGGGCCCGCGUUGGAUUAGCUAGUUGGUAGGGUAAAAGCCUACCAAGGCGACGAUCCAUAGCUGGUCUGAGAGGAUGAUCAGCCACACUGGGACUGAGACACGGCCCAGACUCCUACGGGAGGCAGCAGUAGGGAAUAUUGGACAAUGGGCGAAAGCCUGAUCCAGCAAUGCCGCGUGAGUGAUGAAGGCCUUAGGGUUGUAAAGCUCUUUUACCCGGGAUGAUAAUGACAGUACCGGGAGAAUAAGCGCCGGCUAACUCCGUG
RNAcentral lists this ribosomal RNA (433 nucleotides) under uncultured bacterium. Its description in RNAcentral is "partial 16S ribosomal RNA". It matches the Rfam family "Bacterial small subunit ribosomal RNA", at positions 29 to 507 of the family's 1533-position model. The record is from RNAcentral.